RNAcentral lists this long non-coding RNA (842 nucleotides) under Mus musculus (house mouse). RNAcentral describes it as "long non-coding RNA chr7:35347457-35348299". The record is from RNAcentral. Lineage: Eukaryota; Metazoa; Chordata; Mammalia; Rodentia; Muridae.
AGCCAUCUCACCAGCCCUCCUCAGACUCUUAAGUGGUGGAAACAGCUUCCUUAUUCAAAGGUUAAAAAUCAGGGAUAUAUUAAGAUACUGGCUUUAGAAUCCGGUCCAACUCAAGGUUCUGCAUAUCUGUACAAUUUAGAAGGUGGCCAAUGCUACUACCAAUGCAGACGUGAUCAGAGCAAUUUGAUUCUUGAGUUUACUUAUUUUUAAUGUAUGUGCAUUGGUGUUUUGCCUGCACAUAUGUCUGUGUGAGGCUGUUGUAGUUGUGAGUUGCUGUGUUAGUUGAACCCAGGUCCUCUGGAAGAACUGUCAGUGCUCUUUACCACUGAGCUAUCUCUUCAGCCCCUGGCCUCAGAAAUUUGAAUCCAGAGGGAAAUAUCAUCAUGGGACUGAGAACUAGGUGGGGUGGAGGGAUGCUAGUUCCCUUCUGGGAAGAAGGAAUGAGAAAGUCCUGAGGAAGGAUGGUAACUCACGGCUCUCUAGUCCGAAGGCCACAUUCUGGGGCCCCGAGCAGGCUGGGCUAUAGGUGACUUACUUCUCUUCCCAGGGGUCCAGGCCAUGGGUGCCAGAGUGGUGUGGGGGUGGGAAGGAGUUGAUUGAGGUUGUUAGUGUAAGGUUUCCUGAGCACUCCGCCUACCGGGACACUCCCAGGGAGUAGCCACUGGCCCUGAAGAUAAGCCUCACCAAGGAAUUCAUUCAGACCCCGCCUGUCUGAGCUAGGGAGAGCACCAUUAUGUUUGAAGGAAAUUGUUUGCCGAUCUGAAACCUGUUACACGAUAAGGAGGGGCUAGGGACGUACCCCAGUGCCAGAGCCCUUGCCUAGUGGCUUCAGUCGCCAGCAC